GAACAUUGUUGGGCUUGCACGAACCCGUCCCGAUAUCUUUGGGACCACAGAGGAGGAAGUCUCAAAUGCUGUCAAGGCGGAGAUUGAGAAAGACGAGCAGCCAAAGCAGGUUAUAUGGGACGGUCACAGCGGAAGCAUUGGGCGAACUGCUAACCAGGCCAUGACUCAGGGCGAUGAACAGACUGAUGCUAAUGAUGGAAGGGCGCUUCCAGGGCCGGCUCCACCGCCGAAACUUGGGGUCCCGAUCAUCCGUC
This 254-nucleotide unclassified non-coding RNA is filed under the name Hevea brasiliensis (rubber tree). Lineage: Eukaryota; Viridiplantae; Streptophyta; Magnoliopsida; Malpighiales; Euphorbiaceae. The record is from RNAcentral.